GAUCCUGGCUCAGGAUGAACGCUAGCGACAGGCUUAACACAUGCAAGUCGAGGGGCACCAUGAGGUAGCAAUACCUUGAUGGCGACCGGCGCACGGGUGAGUAACGCGUAUGCAACCUGCCCGAUACCGGGGUAUAGCCCAUGGAAACGUGGAUUAACACCCCAUAGUACUUUUAUCCUGCAUGGGAUGGGAGUUAAAUGUUCAAGGUAUCGGAUGGGCAUGCGUCCUAUUAGUUAGUUGG
Molecule: ribosomal RNA, 241 nt
Filed under: uncultured bacterium
Lineage: Bacteria
Description: partial 16S ribosomal RNA
Rfam family: Bacterial small subunit ribosomal RNA
Source: RNAcentral